Molecule: transfer RNA, 69 nt
Filed under: Conasprella wakayamaensis
Lineage: Eukaryota; Metazoa; Mollusca; Gastropoda; Neogastropoda; Conidae
Description: tRNA-Leu
Rfam family: tRNA
About the family: Transfer RNA (tRNA) molecules are approximately 80 nucleotides in length. Their secondary structure includes four short double-helical elements and three loops (D, anti-codon, and T loops).
Source: RNAcentral
AUCAGAUUAGCAAAGAUUAUGCAAUUGACUUAGGAUCAAUAGACAUAGGUGAAAAUCCUUUAUCUGAUA